GGGUUUCAAAUGUUAAACAAUUUACCACAUAAGUUUGGGCUUUUAUAGUCUAACUUAUCAUCUCCAGCCUCCAGGCAUCAGAUCGAGGCCCAUUCCAAUUUUUUUUUUUUUUUAAAAGAACAUUUAGUUGUAAGCUACUGAGCUGGUUUUGCUUUGCAGGUUAACACACCAAAAAUAAUAGUAAUAUCUGAAUCAGCUUUCAUAUCAUAUCAUGACACUUGACAUCUUACUAGCAAGUAAUAAGACCACGUAAAAUCAAUUCGUAACAUACAAGUGGUCUAUUUGACGACCUCGUCUUCAAAUAUAUUUUAUCAAUAUAUAGGGUCUCUUUAUCGUGAAAAAAAAAAAAUUCAAGAGAAAUCUCAACAUCUGCGUUUUCCUUAUUAUCGAAGCCUAGAUAUGCAUGUCCCCAAGGGGACACCAAGCAGUGCGACUUUCUGUGUGUGAACAGCAUAAGGUCCCGGGUUCAAACCCCACUGCUCCCCCUCCCUAACUC
This 496-nucleotide long non-coding RNA is filed under the name Salvia miltiorrhiza (redroot sage). RNAcentral describes it as "long non-coding RNA (SMIL_LNC012568)". Lineage: Eukaryota; Viridiplantae; Streptophyta; Magnoliopsida; Lamiales; Lamiaceae. The record is from RNAcentral.